GUUCCUGUUGUUCUAUAACCGAUGACGCAUCGCCUCUUAUCCUCGACUCCCCACUACUCCUCCGCCGGGCCAUCCGCGUCCUCAUGGCCAUUCCUAUCCCCCGCCCAAUCUCUUCCCCUUCACGAUCCUUCUUCUCCCCCGCUCUACAAAUAUCUCUCUUCCAUGGUAUGAGCGGCUAUGCUUGAGCGAAGCGAUGAAGUAGCGAAGAUUGCGAGGUUUGGUUGGGGACAGAUGGGUGCUCCUUGUGCAGUGACCUUUCCCUCCCUCUCUCUGUACCAGAUUCAUUUCUCUGAUCUUCAAGUCAUUUUUUCCUACAAUCUCCCAUAUCCCGUGUGUUUAGUCGAGAUGACUGCCGUGGAGACAUGGUCCUUACCUUUCGUCUCUGACUCUAUUCUGGCCAAGGGAGCUCCGACGCCGUUGGGGAGAUUGGUUCUGGUCGGUUCCACCGGAAUCAGACCAGCCACUGGUGCGGCGUCGGGCAGGGGCGCAGGGCUGCAGAUCUGCGACGAGAGGAUGACCUCAAGAAUCUGGACCGUGCUGCUAUCCAGCAACUAGCCGCGGCCAACAUGGGCUACCUCCACAUCGGCUGCACAGCCGCCGGUGCAUGCUGAUCCGGACACCUGCGCCACAGCAGAACAAUGAGCGACUCCUUAUCCUUCCCACUACUACUGAGUAUUCAAACAGAAUUCGAGGUGGAGAAAAACUUGGUACACUGAUUUUUUAUUAUUUCUCAUUUGAGGGCUCUAGGUCAUGUCUAUCCGAAACAUUCAAGUUUGGAGCUUUCGGAUCGUACUUCAGAAAGAACAUUUAGUUACCGUCAAAUUCUUCUCAUGCAUGUACAGAAGAUCGACAAAUGUAAGAUACUCAUUUUAUUGUUAUGUAAUUCAAAAAAUCUGUAAUA
Non-coding RNA from Triticum urartu, 901 nucleotides. NCBI's taxonomy places the organism in Eukaryota, Viridiplantae, Streptophyta, Magnoliopsida, Poales, Poaceae. The record is from RefSeq and is a predicted model, not a curated record.